GGACAGAGUGAGACUACCUACGUCUCAGAAAUAAAUAAAUAAAUAAAUAAAUAAAGCCAUAAAUGAAUGAGAGAAGUCAUUGGUACUGCUUCAGAGAAAUGCCUUAACUCCAGCAAUGCCCAGAGGCAUCUCUCAGCUCCAGCCUGGGGCCUCCACAGGGCUGCUAACAUCCCAGUUAAUGCUCCAACUGCUGUUUAACAAUUAACAUUAAUGACUUGUGGUGGGACUGGGUGAUUUGGUGGGAUGAGAAGGGAAAAAUCUGAGAAGUCAAAAGACAUUUAACUUUGGGGUAAAAAAAAACUGUUUCUCUAUGAGAGAUCUUGGCCUGGGAAGCCUAUCUGGGGAAACAGCAGCUGACAGUUCUCCUUUGCCACUCUGCAAUCCAGUUUCCUGGAGCAAAGCUACAGGCCUUUUAAAAAUCCAGCUGCCAGUCCCUCCUCACUCACUUCACUGGACACUAACCUGGCCUGGGCUGGGACUCAUGCUGUGGUCCUGGUCACCAGAGCCAAAAUAGGGGGAAAGUUGGUGUGGAAAAAGCAGGCAAUCAGGGAUACAGACCGUUAGUCAAUAUUUGCAAGGCUGUUGGCAGAUUACAUAUAUCUGUACUCAAACACUGUAAUCUGAUUUCUCUAUCAAAAAUUCACUUAACAUUUUUGUUCCAUUACUUAAAUCUAGUGGAUUUUCUACUCAGCAUCAGGUAAGGCUCUCUUAGCCCACUGUGUGUGUGUGUGUGUGUGUGUGUGUGUGUGUGUGUGUGUGUAUGAUAGAUUCUUAUUUAAGAUGAGAUAUUUCCUGUGAGUGCAAGUGCAGUACAAAUGAGCCAAGUUCUCUGGACACAUGUGGAUGUGUAUAUGGUGUUAUACACACGGCCCCAAACUCCUGCAAUUAUUUACACAUGCAAUUGUUCUGUUGUUUGCAGAGAUGGAAAUCAUAUACACGGAGUUACGAAUUCCUGAAACGCUUUGUCUACAUUUGAUAUAAACAGACAUACAGUAGCUGAGAAAGUAACCCAGCUUGACUAUUGCUCUGUUUACCUUCUAUUGGAAAAAAUAAAAAUUGUAUCCAGAAUACCAUAUCAGCCUUAGAGCACCACUGAAUAUCAUGUUGCAAUUAAUUAACAACCUGAUAACUAUUUGGGACUAAAUUUACGGGAAGUUUGAGGCCUAGGGAAUAGAAAACAAAAUCUCAAAACUUUUUAAAAAUAAGUAAUUCCUGAAAGAACAAAGCCAACUCAUUCCUUCAUGCCAUGGUUUUGAAUGCUAUUCCAGCAGCCCCUCCCCCAAACAGGCACGUAAUUUAUGGAUCUUUUACAAGGUAAUAAACCACAGUAAUUACCUCCCUGCAUCCCAAACUAAGAGAACAAAUUAAGGCAGAGCUUGAAAAGAAUUUAAAAGAGUUUUCCUUUGUUCCAAAUAGGAAAAGAAAACGCCAAGACAUAGAAGAGCAUAUUUUUCCCCGUAGGAAGAACCGAGAAUGAGCCCUGAUGAAGGAAGGGAGAAGACCUGCUACCUGCGAAGGCCUAAAGGCCGCGGUUGCCAGGAGCCGUGGAGAGCCAACUCCUCCCAACCCCCCUGAUGCAAAGUCCCACGCAGCGAAGAGUUUUGAAGUAGCGCUUACCUAGAGAGAUGUUUAAAUCUGAACUAGGAAUUGUCUCCAACUCCGGGCGCUCAGGGAAUCGCCUUUUCCAGUGUCCAGGCGCUCUGCAGACAAAUAAACAGCAGAGGGUGAACGGCGGCUGCGAAAGAAGGGAGUUAGAGGCCCAGAGUGGGAAGCACGGCUCCUGCAAGUGCCAAGGUGGCCCUGGGGGUGACUCGAACACCAAGGAGUCGCCAGGGCACUCAUCCAUGCGGUGCACUCAUUGCUCGAAAUGUUCCAGUCUACAAAUGGCCCGAAGAUGGUGAUUUAUUUUUGUAAAAUAAAUACAUACUCCAUCUCCGCACCCA
Long non-coding RNA from Sapajus apella (tufted capuchin), 1943 nucleotides. RefSeq lists it as uncharacterized. NCBI's taxonomy places the organism in Eukaryota, Metazoa, Chordata, Mammalia, Primates, Cebidae. The transcript has 2 exons. The record is from RefSeq and is a predicted model, not a curated record.